GGCAGCGUGGUGUAGUGGUUUGAGUGUUGGAGGAUGACUCUAGAGACCAGGGUUCGAUUCCUCGCUCGGCCA
Molecule: transfer RNA, 72 nt
Filed under: Phrynosoma platyrhinos (Desert horned lizard)
Lineage: Eukaryota; Metazoa; Chordata; Lepidosauria; Squamata; Phrynosomatidae
Description: tRNA-OTHER
Source: RNAcentral